UAAAUUUUGCAUUGCUAAACAUGCUCGUACUGUUAUUUUUUCUGCUGGUUGUCCUCCCAGAUGUUUUGUAUAUACCUGAAUUUUCUUUUAGGCUUCUUUCAGUUCCCAAACUGUGCAAGGCUGAGUUGCGUAGUUUCCUUUACAGACACAACUUUUAUACAGGAUUUGAAAACCCAGACAAUGAUUAAUUCUGGUGAGAAGCUAG
Molecule: long non-coding RNA, 205 nt
Filed under: Vigna radiata
Lineage: Eukaryota; Viridiplantae; Streptophyta; Magnoliopsida; Fabales; Fabaceae
Description: long non-coding RNA (VRAD_LNC008540)
Source: RNAcentral